UUGUGUGGGGCUGGACAGCACUCAGAAGUGGGUGGGGAGGCCCUAAAGUCAAGAGUCUUGAGGCCUGGAACCAGCAGCUGUCCUUGAAGCAUCUGUGGAUGCUGAAGGGCUCUGCCUCCAUCCUUCACUCAUCAAACCCAGAGAUCUGCUGCCUCCCGCAAAUGAAGCUGGCAGGGUCCCUGUCCUGGGGACCUUUGCUGAGGGAAAGGCAUAGAGCUGCAGUGACCUCAGGCUGGGAUCCUGCUUCUAAGUCUCGCUGGCCCCAUGGGCUCAGAAAUGGAAGGGAAAGCCACUCCAGGCCUACUUUGGUGUCACAGCAGACAGUUCCCCUGCCCUACUGCAUCCUGAAUUAGGAAGGUGGCUGGCCUGGCUCCAGCACAGUGUGUCUCCACCUCCAUCCCCUUUCCCCUCAUCCACUCCCAAGACCUACAGUCAAAUUGAUUUUCUCCAGCAGUGGGAAUGGGCUGCAUGAAGCUAUCCUCCCUCCUUCCUCACGACUGAGGUCUGGCAAUAGCCUGAUUGAUGAGGUUUCUUGUCGGCAGCUGCUGAGCUCCAACCUGCGCCUCUCAGUCCUGUGCCCAUUUCUCCCAGAAACCACCAGGCCUCGGCCUGUUACCAGUCACAAAGGAUAUGGAACAGAAACCCACCCAGGGUCCAUCUUCCCACCACCCCCAUCAGCCCGUCCAGCCCCCCUCCCCCCAUCAGCCCAAGCAGCAGGGGGAGAAGGUGAGAGGCCCUGGUCCCUCCACUGGAGGGGCAGAGCUUCUGGAGCAGCUUCUGGGCAAGAGCUCUGCACGGCCCGGGCCUCCAGGUCCAGUUUCAUGCAUGAGGACAGCAGUUUGUGAUCCUGGAAAAGCUUGGGGAAAGUGGGAGGGAGAGAAGGAAGUGGAGAGGCAGGGGACAACUCCAUGAUGAAGGGUUCAAGAAACAGGCACAGGGGAAACAACUUGGGACUCUUAUCAAGGCUGGAGGUGAGCCUGAGGGGCCAGAGGAGAGAGCUGUUCACCUGCUUGGCCCUACAGCAUGCAGGAUGCAGAGUAGACCUGAGAAAGGACUUCCAGGUUAUGAGGGCUCAGGGACACCAACCAUCCAUGGGAACAGGGAGGCCAAUGAAAGGAUCUUCCCAGGAAAACCCCAGCCAGCCUGUCCUGGGGCAAAGGAAGGACAGGAUGACCUCUGGAUGCCCCUCCUGCCAGGACCAAGAUGUCCUUCCCAUGCUAAGAAGACGGCUGUGUGUCCCCACUGGGACCACUGCUGUCAGGCACUGAGGAGGGCACAGCCUUCCCAGCCUGGAUGGGAGACGGCUCAGCAGGCCUAGGCCUCCUACCCCCAGCCCCUGCCAGGCUUUGGGCAUCGCCCUCACUGUGGCCCAGGUUGGAGCCAAAGCCCCCUUUGGGGGCAGGUGAGGAGCAGCCUCUGUGGCUGUGACCUUGACUACUUUGAGUGGGGAAGGGGCUAGGGAGAGACAGAGAAGGAGCGGGGAGAAGAGAGAAAGGGACAGUAACAAGGAGAUGGAGAGAUGGGGAAGGGGACAGAGAGAGAGGAAGGGACAGGGAAGACAGACAGGGCCACGGGCAGAGGACAGCCGGCCAGGGUGGCUGCGCAUGGAGCCCAGAGAGGCCCUGUCAGUGAGCAGAUGCUGGCCUAGAGGGCGGUCUCCGGUGGUGCCACAGCUCUGUUCCCAGCCCUGGAGAAAGAAACCAACCCGAUCCACAGAUGCUGGAACCCGGGAGGGACACUAACGCUGCUGGCAACCAGCUGAGCUCAGUGAGAGAUUAAACAGAUGGAAUUUAAUACAGACGCUUUGAAAAGUCUGCAUCUGGCUUUGAAAACUAACUGCGCAAGCAGUGGGGAGGGAGAGCUGCCUGUCCGCAGCCCCUGCAGGAGCUGAGCUGGGGGUUCGGCUCCAGUCGUUGGGUGUUGAGUUGCUGGAAAACCUCAUGUGGGAAUCAGCAAGGCUCACAGCUGCUAGAGGCAUCAGACAGAAGUGGGAGAGAUGCCGAGGGAGGCAGAUUCCGAGGGAGUAAAUUGGAAGGACGGAUGCGCUGGGAGUGAGGAGGGAUCUGGACAACCACGAGCAGACGGAGGAGCAUUUGUCACUUUAGGCACCUUCACUGGAAGGAGAACAUGCUGAUUUGCUAAGAGCUGGGUCCCAGAGGUCUGAGUGGAGACACUUUCCUCCGAGGUGGGAGUUUUCUGCUCUAGGAAUGACAUCCCCUCAUGUCCAGCAGGAACGCAUCGAACCAUGUGUCCACGUCGAGACAGAUGAACAGCGUCCUGCCUUCCAACACCGCGUAUCACCUGUGCCUGUUCCAGAACUUCAUACAAAUGCACUCACACCGUCUGGUGCUCCUACAUGUCUCGUUUCCACUUUGUUCAAUAUCAUGUGUGUGUUUCAUCCAGGUUGGUGUGUUGAGUUGCACACUGUUGAUUCUUAUUGAUGUGUGAUGUUUGUAUAUUGUAUGAAUAUGCAGCAAUUUGUUUACCCAUCUAACUCUAAAUGAGAUCUGAGUACUUUCCAGUCUGGGGCUGUUAUGAACAGUGCAGCUAUAAGGUUUUUGCAAGUGCUUUUGGUGAACAUAUGGGUGAAUUUCUGUUGGGCAGAUACUUAGGAAUGGAAUUUCUGAGUCAUAAAUUACACACAGGUUCAGCAUCAAGAGAGACUCUGAACAGUUUUGCAAAGUGGUUCUUCCAAUUUAUGAGGCUUUGUCUACAGACUUGUCCCUGAGCCACCUGACCUCCCAUGACCUUACCUGGUCCUUGGGUUGUCUCAGGUCCCCUGGGCCUGCUGCUCAGUUUUCCCUCCCAGUCUUUGUCCUUCCCUGGGUCUUUGGUGCAGGACUCUCUGUGCCUGGGUCCUGUUGUUGGCUCCUGGAGACACAUUCUCAAGCCACUCUGAAUGGCAUCCUCUGGGCGUGGUAUGACCUGGCUGCCUUCCCUGCACUGGGGCCUUCCUUGGUGGCACAGCCUCCCUCACAUCCUGACCGGCCUCCUGGGGGUCCAUGGGUCAGGUGCUCUACUGAGCAUGGGGGGUCUUUGUUAAACCAACUGUGGGUCCUGCCCUUGUGGGGUUCAUAGACAAGUGUGGAGAUGGAGCCUGGGCCUUUCUUCCUAUGCUCCAAAGGUGGACGGUUGAGUCUAAGAGGAAGAGAGGGACCAAAAACUUUAUGUUGAGAGAACGCCAAACCUUGGUGUGUGAUUUACUGGGAGGGGGAAUGUCAUGGAACAGAAAGUGCAAGAACUUCAGAGUCGAUUGGUCCUGGGCUCAAGUUCCCGUUGCUCCAUGCCCAGCUAUGUGAUGGAAGAUGCUGGCACCAAUCUUGGUGGCACUGACAGUGUGUCCAGGAGGUGCCCAGCAGGCUGUGGGCAAUGCAGAGACUGAGGAAUAGGGCCCUGGAGUUAGCACUGGCAGAUCUGGCCUCACCUCUGGAUGCUCCCUGGAGGCUGUCGCCAGCAGAAGCCCCCUCUCCCGCUGUUUUCUUCCUCUGACUCACAGUGUGACCUUCGGCACACUGCCCCCUCUCAGAGUCUCAGCUGUCACAUUCAUGAAAUGGGGUUAAUCCACCUCCUGGGACUAUGAGGACUGAGACGGUGGAGGCGAUGGUGUCUAAGCAACUCUGCGGCGUCAUUCAUCCGGGGCUGCCUUGGCAUUCUCACCUCGGAUGACGUUUCCUCUCCUGCUCUUUGCUCCUGCUCUUUCCUCCAGGAUUAUCCUUCCCUCCUCCUUCCCACACUGUGCUCGUUUGCCUUCUUUCAUCCUAGUUUUACUUUCAUUUAUUAUAAUUUUAUAUUAGAUGAAUCAUCAGAGACCAGCUGGCCCCUCAUUUACACAUUGGAGAAACUGAGGCACAAAGAGAGAAAGCAAUGACCUCAAGAUCACCCAGCCAGCUGCUGUUCAGCUCUUAGCUCCACACAGAAAUUCCAGCCGCAGAAGGAUGAACUUUGAUGUGGUUGCCUACUCUCUACGCUCCAGGAAGAUGUCCAACCUUGUCUAGGAAUUUCCCUACUGACACUUGCAACAAGAGCAAAGCCCAACAAGUGUGAAGUCGGUCUUUGAAAAGCUCAAGGCUGACUUGCCCUGGAGCUGUAUCUUCUCUUUAGAUCCCAACAGUAGUUACAUUUUCUGAUCUAAAGUGGCUGUCAGUUUCAUUCCAAGUAAGGUACACUUGAUCUACUGCUUGUGUGAAUAUUGUUUGCUAUUAUACCUACUUUAAAAAUACCAUUGAUGGCAUGGUGGCACAUGCCUGUAAUCCCAGCUACUCAGGAGGCUGAGGCAGGAGAAUUGCUUGAACCCAGGAGGCGGAGAUUGCACUGAGCCGAUAUUGCGCCAUUGCACUCCAGAGCAAGACUCUGUCUCAAAAAAAAAAAAAAAAAAAAAAAAAAAUCCCAUUGAAAAAGUUGAUUACAGAAGAAGGGGUUUGAUUUGGGAAAAUUCAAGUGUGUGUGUGUGUGUGUGUACGUGCACGCAGGUGUGUGUAUUUCCCAAUAUUUAAUUUUUUUUCUUUCUCAGAACAUGCCACUUUAUAUUUAUUUAAGUUUUAAACCAAGAGCAAGUCAUUUUUUUUAAUUUUAAACUUUUCUUUAUUUCUUUUUUUAAAAAAUUAUUUAUUAUACUUUACAUUCUGGGCAACAUGCACAGAUUAUGCAGCUUUGUUACAGCACCUGUUUGAAACAUGAGUCAAUUUUCCUAAAAUCAGUAUCACUCAACGAUUUGCUUCUGGCUUGGACAGGAGAAGGCAUUGAACCAACAUGACCUGGAAGCUGUUUCUGGGAGGGAGGGCAGUGGGUGCUGGCUGGCAUUGCUCAUGGAUGGCAGUGGCUGAGAGAGACCACGGUGAGAGAGAUGUAGGAAAAUGCAUUGGCAAGGCACCUAAGAAAAUUAGCCUUUGGGUCAUCUGUGGCUCUUGGGGCAGGAGUCACUGAACUCUGGUUCACCCAUCAGAUGUGUCUGGGACCUUGAGCAUCUUCUCUCUCUUGAGAUCAUAUGACUCCUUGAUUCACAGUAAUGGUCAUCAUUGUUAAGUAUCCUUUUUACUUAUUUUAAUAAAUAUCUAUGAGUCCCCAUUGGGUGCUGGGUGCUGGGGUGAUAAUGGUGAACCCCACAAAUGACCAAGACGGGCCAGCCGGACCCCCUGCCCUGUCACUGCGGUUGCUGUCACUGUCACUGUCAUCAUGCGAAAGCUUGUCCACGCUCUCACUUUCCUGUUGCUUGGUUUCAGGACCCCUUCCCUGCCUCAUCAUCUGCUGGCCCUUCUUCUUUUGAUAUGCUUGGAGCUGGGUCUGGGGGUCUGGGGAGGGGAACAGGCACUUGGAGAACGUGUCACAGAGCCAGGUAGGGAUCCUCUUCCUGUUUCUUCCUCUCAGAAAUGACAAUUAACUCAAAUUAAUUCUAGCUCAGCCCAUACCUGAAGAAGAAAAAUAAACUGGUUAGAUUUGUUUUCUCAGUCAGCUUCUCAAGCCUGGUAUUAAUCUAUUCAUCAUCUGAGCUCAUCAGGAGCAAACAUACUUCUUCAGGAGUUUUCUAACAGGAAACAAAUGCCUCAUUAAGUUAAACAUAUUAACCUGAGAACGGUCCUGAUGUCAGACAGACUAAUGAACGUCAUUACAGGGAAUGCGCAGCAGUCCUCAGAGGGCCCCACCCUCCAUCAGGGCUCCUGCAGAUUGGCUUAGCUACUGCAGGAUGUGGGAUCAUCAGAGGCGGGAGGGGGAUGGAAAAGGGGCUGUUGCUGGAGCUGUAGUCACAGUCAGCCUUGUGAGCGGUGCCUGAUUAAUUCUGGCAUCUUCAAAUGCCUGCGAAGGGCACAGGGCCAAAGGAGGGGCCCUAUGUGCCUCACUGUUGGGUCUAAGGGGGUUGGGGCCAGAGGUUGCAGCCUCUGAAACAGGAGGAAGGGGAGGUGGGUUGAGUCGGGCAUCAGAACCCCGGGUUCUGGUCCCAGGCCUUCUCCAUAUGGUGCAGGAGGCUCAGUUCCAGCCCCUCUCCAGCAGGCCAAGGUCUGCGCUGUGCACUUCCACAAGCGUCGAGCUCAGCUACCCUCGCAGAAACCCGGGCAGACAGCGGUUUAUGGCGCAGGGUUGUGGAUGAGGACACUGAGGCUCAGAGGAGUGAAGUGACUUGCCCGAAGGUCAUCUGGCUUGUGGGAGGGAGAGAGACAGGCCCUGGCUGGCUGACCCGGUGCAGGUUCCCCCCCAACCGCCCCUCCUGCUGCUUCCCGGUGCUCUGUCUUCUACUCCCUCCCAAGCCCUCCUCCAGGACCCUGGAGCAUCUUCAUGGGGGCUGUGUGGGGAGGGGCUCUCUCCACCACCACACAGGAGCCAGGCUGAGGAGCCAGGGGCACCCUGACUUACAUAUGGCUCAGGAAGCCUACAUCUCUGUUUUUCAUCAACAAAAUGGGGCUGAGUCUUGCCACCCCACAGGCUUGCCACCCCACAGGCUUGCCGUGAGGUUCACAUGAGCCGAUGAAGGCACAGUUCUCCACACAGCCGGUGCCUAGGACGUGCUGGUCUCCCCCACUCUGCGCUGUGUCCUGGCCCACCCAGCUCCAGGAUGGCCACUGGGGAGAGGCUGAAUGGGGCCAGGUGGAACAUGGAGGAGUAGACCCCCUUCCUGAGAUCUAGCCCAGCAGCCAGGCAGUCCCAGAUUCCACAGUCCACUCUCAUUCAUUGAGAACUCAACCUGUUCCAGGCUCCAUAGGGCAUAGAGAUGACCACGGCGUGAAUUUCAUAUCCCAGUGGGGAAAAUGCCCCUGGUGCACUGGAGAGAGUCAUAGGAUGGGAGCAGAGCCACAGAAAAUGGCACAGAGAGAAUCUGGAUAUGGUGUGAAGGAGGUUAUGGGAACAAACCAGGCUCCUCCUGGGGACAGACACUGAGGACUCUUUGUAAAGGGCCAGAACUCAGGCCUUGCUAGAAUGCAUUUGUUUUCCCUGAACACUAAAAGCAUCUGGAAAACGUCUGCUGCUGGCCCCUCUCCCUCCCUGAUGUGGCUUUCAGGUAGCAUGUGUCUCAUUGGUGGAAGCCCUGAAGACACAUGCCCUCUUUCCAGCCUUGCAUGCAGACAGGCAGGCCCUGCCACCCUCUCUUGGUAGAAGCCGGAGGGGCCAGGCACAGCCCUGCGGUAACUCCUGGGAUUCGGAGCUGGUGUUCCCACCUCACAGGGUGAGUCCAGCUGCUCAUUUCUGAGUGUGGCUUCCCCUCACUGCUAGCACCUGCUCUUGUGUCAGGUGGGCACUGAGCCUUCUGGCUGAGCACGGAGGCUGCAAUUUCAUUGCAGGUUGGAGCACUUCACAUGGAGAAUGACACAAACUAUGUGUAAAGUGCUACGUGGAAUUCUGCUGCAGUUACUUACUGAAUUCCCCUCUCUCCUGGAAGUUCUUUGGUGGCAGUCAUACAUCGCUUUUACUUACAUCUUUUCCUCGAGCCUGACUCAUGUAACGGCACACCUUAAACGUUUGUUGAGUGGUUGAAGAAGAGGCACUGAAAGCAGGAAAUGGGUUCUAGCAACUCCAUUAAAAUUUCUCUAGGCACAGGAGAAACAACUGUGGAAUUUUAGAAACAAAGAUGGUAAUAAAGAGAGAAGUGAGAAGAGUCAAGGCACUUGAUGAAAUACUACCAGGCAGUUGAGCCAAACAGCUUUGUGGUGAGAGAGCUAUGGUGUAUCAGCUAGCUCCUGCUGCAUAACAAACCACUACAAACCUAUUGGCUCAGAAUAACAAGCAUUUAUGGAGCUCAGGAGUGUGUAUACAAGCUGGGUGCUUCUGCUGACGUGGGGUGGGUUUGGUUGAUCUUGGAUGGAUGUACUCCUGCAUCUGCAAUCAGCUUGUGGAUUGGCUGGGGGAUGGCUGGCUUAGCAUGGUCUCAGGGGAGUUGACUCAUUUCUGUUUCAUGUGGUGUCAUUUGACUGCAAGGCCAGCUCAGAUAGGUCUUCAUGAGUGGAAAUGAAUGUUGAAGGAGAGGGUGAAAGUACACAAGGUGUUUUGAGGCAUAGGUGGGUAUAUUGACUGUAUAUUCUCAUUUCUGUGUUAUUGAAACUCUAGCAUUUAGGGCCUUGAUCCUGGAGACACCGCCCCUAUCAGGGCUAGUUAUUCUCCAGAGAUAGCAAAGGACUCUCCUGGGAGCACAUCUUUGAUAGUCAAACCAACCAAUCCAGAGCCCACACCCCCAACCUCCUCCUUUAUCUAACUCUCACAUACCAAGCCAAUAUUCCCCCUGUCCCAUCCUGAAUUACCCAGGUCCAGGUAGUGGACAUCUAGGGACCACCCUUAUGGGUCAAAGCUCAAUGAAAUUAUCCAACCAUUCAACCCUAAGUUUACUCAGCAACCUACCCUGCCUUGCUCAUUCCUGCCCACGAGAGCCCCAAUGAAUGCCCUGGACCAUUCUAUUUCUUCUUCUCCCUCUGUCUCCUGACUUACCCUACUGCUUCCCUGCAUGACAUGCUAUGACUUGAGUUUCCAAGAAUCUGCGAGAAUAAACAUUUUCCUUCACGACAA
Molecule: long non-coding RNA, 8484 nt
Organism: Callithrix jacchus (white-tufted-ear marmoset)
Lineage: Eukaryota; Metazoa; Chordata; Mammalia; Primates; Cebidae
Source: RefSeq, a predicted model, not a curated record